GUGGGGAAUAUUGGACAAUGGGCGAAAGCCUGAUCCAGCCAUGCCGCGUGUGUGAAGAAGGUCUUCGGAUUGUAAAGCACUUUAAGUUGGGAGGAAGGGCAGUAAGUUAAUACCUUGCUGUUUUGACGUUACCGACAGAAUAAGCACCGGCUAACUUCGUGCCAGCAGCCGCGGUAAUACGAAGGGUGCAAGCGUUAAUCGGAAUUACUGGGCGUAAAGCGCGCGUAGGUGGUUUUGUAAGUUGGAGGUGAAAUCCCCGGGCUCAACCUGGGAACUGCCUCCAAAACUGCACGACUAGAGUACGGUAGAGGGUAGUGGAAUUUCCUGUGUAGCGGUGAAAUGCGUAGAUAUAGGAAGGAACACCAGUGGCGAAGGCGACUACCUGGACUGAUACUGACACUGAGGUGCGAAAGCGUGGGGAGCAAACAGGAUUAGAUACCCUUGUAGUCC
RNAcentral lists this ribosomal RNA (450 nucleotides) under uncultured bacterium. RNAcentral describes it as "bacterial SSU rRNA". It matches the Rfam family "Bacterial small subunit ribosomal RNA", at positions 354 to 796 of the family's 1533-position model. The record is from RNAcentral.